UACAGAGGGGGCAAGCGUUAUUCGGAAUUAUUGGGCGUAAAGCGCACGUAGGCGGAUUUGUAAGUCAGGGGUGAAAUCCCGGGGCUCAACCUCGGAACUGCCUUUGAUACUGCAAAUCUCGAGUCCGGAAGAGGUGAGUGGAAUUCCUAGUGUAGAGGUGAAAUUCGUAGAUAUUAGGAAGAACACCAGUGGCGAAGGCGGCUCACUGGUCCGGUACUGACGCUGAGGUGCGAAAGCGUGGGGAGCAAACAGG
This 253-nucleotide ribosomal RNA is filed under the name uncultured bacterium. RNAcentral's name for it is "partial 16S ribosomal RNA". It matches the Rfam family "Bacterial small subunit ribosomal RNA", at positions 524 to 776 of the family's 1533-position model. The record is from RNAcentral.